This 484-nucleotide ribosomal RNA is filed under the name uncultured bacterium. RNAcentral's name for it is "partial 16S ribosomal RNA". It matches the Rfam family "Bacterial small subunit ribosomal RNA", at positions 30 to 507 of the family's 1533-position model. The record is from RNAcentral.
AUUGAACGCUGGCGGCAGGCCUAACACAUGCAAGUCGAGCGGAUGAAGGGAGCUUGCUCCUGGAUUCAGCGGCGGACGGGUGAGUAAUGCCUAGGAAUCUGCCUGGUAGUGGGGGAUAACGUCCGGAAACGGGCGCUAAUACCGCAUACGUCCUGAGGGAGAAAGUGGGGGAUCUUCGGACCUCACGCUAUCAGAUGAGCCUAGGUCGGAUUAGCUAGUUGGUGGGGUAAAGGCCUACCAAGGCGACGAUCCGUAACUGGUCUGAGAGGAUGAUCAGUCACACUGGAACUGAGACACGGUCCAGACUCCUACGGGAGGCAGCAGUGGGGAAUAUUGGACAAUGGUCGAAAGCCUGAUCCAGCCAUGCCGCGUGUGUGAAGAAGGUCUUCGGAUUGUAAAGCACUUUAAGUUGGGAGUAAGGGCAGUAAGUUAAUACCUUGCUGUUUUGACGUUACCAACAGAAUAAGCACCGGCUAACUUCGUG